Molecule: ribosomal RNA, 467 nt
Filed under: uncultured bacterium
Lineage: Bacteria
Description: partial 16S ribosomal RNA
Rfam family: Bacterial small subunit ribosomal RNA
Source: RNAcentral
GACGAACGCUGGCGGCGUGCUUAACACAUGCAAGUCGAACGGAAAGUCCCUGCUUUUGUGGGGUGCUCGAGUGGCGAACGGGUGAGUAACACGUGAGUAACCUGCCCUUGACUUUGGGAUAACUUCAGGAAACUUGGUCUAAUACCAGAUAGGAGCUCCUGCUGCAUGGUGGGGGUUGGAUAGUUUCGUCGGUUGGUGUUGGACUCGCCGGUUAUCAGCUUGUUCGUGGGGUGGUGGCUUACCAAGGAUUUCACGGAUAGCCGGCCUGAGAGGGUGACCGGCCACAUAGGCCUGAGCUACGGCCCAGACUCCAACGGGAGGGAACAGUGGGGAAUAUUACACAAUAGGAGGAAGGCUGGUGCGACAAAGCCGCGCGGCGGGAGACGGGCAUCGGGUUGUAAACCGAUUUCGCCUGUGACGAAGCGUGAGUGACGGUAAUGGGUAAAGAAGCACCGGCUAACUACGUG